RNAcentral lists this ribosomal RNA (372 nucleotides) under uncultured bacterium. RNAcentral's name for it is "bacterial SSU rRNA". It matches the Rfam family "Bacterial small subunit ribosomal RNA", at positions 524 to 898 of the family's 1533-position model. The record is from RNAcentral.
UACGGAGGGUGCAAGCGUUAUCCGGAUUUACUGGGUUUAAAGGGUGCGUAGGUGGGUCUGUAAGUCAGUGGUGAAAUCUCCGAGCUUAACUCGGAAACUGCCAUUGAUACUAUAGGUCUUGAAUUAUCUGGAGGUAAGCGGAAUAUGUCAUGUAGCGGUGAAAUGCUUAGAUAUGACAUAGAACACCAAUUGCGAAGGCAGCUUACUACGGAUCGAUUGACACUGAGGCACGAAAGCGUGGGGAUCAAACAGGAUUAGAUACCCUGGUAGUCCACGCCCUAAACGAUGGAUACUCGACAUUUGCGAUAUACUGUAAGUGUCUGAGCGAAAGCAUUAAGUAUCCCACCUGGGAAGUACGAUCGCAAGAUUGAA